GAGGAUAUAAGGUUUACUUCUAAGGAGAUAAAAAGCAAUUGAUGCUUCCUCAAAAUAAAAAAGUUGACUCCAGCCAUGUUUUUAUUUGUUGAGAAAUAUUCUAUAUCUACACUAUGGGAUACAGACUAACAGUUAUUUACCUGUCUAUUGAGUACUUGUCACCUAGGAGUCAUCAGUAAGUUGCAUCCAUUAAACAAAGAAAAGUCAUUCAACCAGCCAUCUGGAGACAACAUGAGCAAAAAAGAAGAGCAGGAAGCGGGCAAGAAGGGAAACUGUCCUAGAAAGAGAGUAAAGAAGACCAAAGUGAUCAGACAACUAAAUUUGCUCAAAAGCAUGUGCCAGUCCUAGAAGAUAUAUACAGUGGUCUUUUGGAAGUGGG
Molecule: long non-coding RNA, 379 nt
Filed under: Homo sapiens (human)
Lineage: Eukaryota; Metazoa; Chordata; Mammalia; Primates; Hominidae
Description: HSALNT0342656
Source: RNAcentral